AGUUCGUCUUCCCUGGGUUAGCCGGUCCCUAAGCCGAGGCUGAAAAGCGUAGGUGAUGGAAAGCAGGUUAAAUAUUCCUGCGCCACCUAAAACUAUGGUGACGGGUCGACGGAGUACGUUAAGCGCGCGGACCAUUGGAUGUGUCCGUGGGGCAAUGAGGUUGGUUAGUAGGUAAAUCCGCUAACGGAAGACCAGGUUGUCACUAAGGGAAACCUUCGGGGGAACCGAUAGCGUAGCGCAAGGCUUCCAAGAAAUAGACUCUAAUCGUUGAUGGUGACCGUACCAAAACCGACACAGGUGGGUGGGAAGAAUAUUCUAAGGCGCGCGAGAGAACUCUUGUUAAGGAACUCGGCAAAUUAUCCUCGUAACUUCGGGAGAAGAGGAGCCACAAGUUGUGAUAGCACUAGCUGCUAGAGCAUCCUGUGGCCGCAGAGAAAUGGCCCAGGCGACUGUUUAACAAAAACACAGCACUAUGCAAAGACGUCUAAGUCGAAGUAUAUGGUGUGAUGCCUGCCCAAUGCCAAAAGGUCAAAAGGAGAUGUUAGCACGUUAAGUGCAAAGCAUUGAAUUUAAGCCCUGGUGAAUGGCGGCCGUAACUAUAACGGUCCUAAGGUAGCGAAAUUCCUUGUCGGGUAAGUUCCGACCUGCACGAAUGGUAUAACGAUCUGGGCACUGUCUCAACAAGAGACUCGGUGAAAUUGUAGUAGCAGUGAAGAUGCUGUUUACCCGCAAUAAGACGGAAAGACCCCGUGAACCUUUACUGUACUCUGAUAUUGGCUCUUGACUUGUCAUGUGUAGAAUAACCAGGAGACUAAGAAAGCUCAUCGUCAGGUGAGCUGGAGUCGUCGUUGAAAUACUGGUCUUGAUAAGUCGGGAAUCUAACGAAAUCCCAUGAAGCUGGGAUUCGGACAUUGUCAGACGGGCAGUUUUGCUGGGGCGGUAUCCUCCUAAAGAGUAACGGAGGAGUCCAAAGCUUGCCUCAUCGUGGUUGGCAAUCACGAGUAGAGCGUAAAGGUAUAAGGCAAGUUAACUGUGAGACCUGCAAGUCGAACAGAGACGAAAGUCGGGCUUAGUGAUCCGGCGGUGGAAUGUGGAAUCGCCGUCGCUCAACGGAUAAAAGGUACUCCGGGGAUAACAGGCUUAUCGCCACCAAGAGUUCAUAUCGACGUGGCGGUUUGGCACCUCGAUGUCGACUCAUCGCAUCCUGGGGCUGAAGAAGGUCCCAAGGGUUUGGCUGUUCGCCAAUUAAAGCGGUACGCGAGUUGGGUUCAAAACGUCGUGAGACAGUUUGGUCCCUAUCUUUUGUGGGCGUAGGAUACUUGAGAGGAGCUGCUUCUAGUACGAGAGGACCGAAGUGGACGAACCAAUGGUGAGCCGGUUGUUCUGCCAAGAGCAUUGCCGGGUAGCUAUGUUCGGAACGGAUAAGCGUUGAAAGCAUAUAAACGCCAAGCCUCCCUCAAGAUAAGGUAUCCCUAUCAGACACCAUAUAGACCAUGUGGUUAAUAGGUUGGGUGUGUAAGCGCAGUAAUGCGUUGAGCUUACCAAUACUAAUCGGUCGAUCGGCUUGACCAC
Molecule: ribosomal RNA, 1572 nt
Filed under: Candidatus Protochlamydia sp. W-9
Lineage: Bacteria; Pseudomonadati; Chlamydiota; Chlamydiia; Parachlamydiales; Parachlamydiaceae
Description: bacterial LSU rRNA
Rfam family: Bacterial large subunit ribosomal RNA
Source: RNAcentral